GAAAGAAAGCAAGAGUUCAAAAUUUUAUUGAAAAUGUAAUUUGUAAAUACAACAAUGAAGAAUUUCGAGAAAAUUUUCUCGGAAAAUGCCUAUAUCUGCAGAAAAACAAUUGUUUAUUGCUUUGUACAUGCUGGCAACACCAGAUUCAUACAGAUCUGCAGUUACAAAAUUCGACGUUGAUAAGGCAACAGCUUGGCGAGCAAUACGAAGAAUUGUUAAAGUUCUUUGUAAAUAUAGAAAUUAUUCGAUGGCUAAAUCAAAGGGAAUUGGAUGAAUGUAGCCAAAUAUUACAAAUUCAAUAUGGUUUUCCUAGAAUUAUCGGAGCUCUGUAUGGAACACAUAUUUAUAUAUCAGCUCCAACUCGAGAUAGUCAAUUUUAUAUAAAUAAAAAGGGAAGAUACUCUAUUCAGUUACAGAUUCAGCUUAUGUAUUGCAAAAACAUAUUAUAGUGCCAUAUAAAGAUAAUGGUCAUCUAACUGCUCAGGAAAUAUAUUACAAUAGCGUACUCUCUAAAACUAGAAUGAUAGUAAAGAGAUCUGGUUAUUAAAAGGACGAGGAUGGAGAUGUCUUUUGGAUAAAUCACCUAGCGAAGGACAGAUUUGAUUCCAUACUACAACCAGAACCAAUGGUCGUAAAGCAAUUAUUGCAAGACGAAGAAUCAGCGAAAAGAGAAGAAAUAAAAAUUAGAUUAACUACUUAAUUUAUAU
Acromyrmex echinatior (Panamanian leafcutter ant) is the source of this 707-nucleotide long non-coding RNA. The record is from RefSeq and is a predicted model, not a curated record. NCBI's taxonomy places the organism in Eukaryota, Metazoa, Arthropoda, Insecta, Hymenoptera, Formicidae.